RNAcentral lists this ribosomal RNA (685 nucleotides) under uncultured fungus. RNAcentral describes it as "eukaryotic LSU rRNA". The stretch from base 264 to 417 matches the Rfam family "5.8S ribosomal RNA". Lineage: Eukaryota; Fungi. The record is from RNAcentral.
CUUGGUCAUUUAGAGGAAGUAAAAGUCGUAACAAGGUUUCCGUAGGUGAACCUGCGGAAGGAUCAUUACCGAAUCGUCAAACACGGGUUGUUGCUGGCCCCUGAACGGGGGCACGUGCACGCUCUGUUUACGCAUCCACUCACACCUGUGCACCCUCGGUAGUUCUAUGGUUCGGGAGACCCUGUCUUCCUUCCGUGGCUCUACGUCUUUACACACACACGACGUCUCAUGGAAUGUUUUUCGCGUUUAACGCAAUACAAUACAACUUUCAACAACGGAUCUCUUGGCUCUCGCAUCGAUGAAGAACGCAGCGAAAUGCGAUACGUAAUGUGAAUUGCAGAAUUCAGUGAAUCAUCGAAUCUUUGAACGCACCUUGCGCCCCUUGGUAUUCCGAGGGGUGCACCCGUUUGAGUGUCGUGAACACCCUCAACCUUCUUGGUUUAUCGACCGGGAAGGCUUGGACUUUGGAGGUUUUUGUUGCUGGCCUCGUUUGAAGCCAGCUCCUCCUAAACGAAUUAGUGGGGUCCGCCGUGCCGACCCUCGACGUGAUAAGUACGCUUCUACGUCUUGGGGUUUCGCACUGUCGCCUGCUUCCAACCGUCUUCGAAUGGAGACAAUCUUAUAGACCUUGACCUCAAAUCGGGUGAGACUACCCGCUGAACUUAAGCAUAUCAAUAAGCGGAGA